RNAcentral lists this ribosomal RNA (465 nucleotides) under Vreelandella stevensii. Its description in RNAcentral is "partial 16S ribosomal RNA". It matches the Rfam family "Bacterial small subunit ribosomal RNA", at positions 338 to 795 of the family's 1533-position model. The record is from RNAcentral. Lineage: Bacteria; Pseudomonadati; Pseudomonadota; Gammaproteobacteria; Oceanospirillales; Halomonadaceae.
CCUACGGGUGGCUGCAGUGGGGAAUAUUGGACAAUGGGGGGAACCCUGAUCCAGCCAUGCCGCGUGUGUGAAGAAGGCCCUCGGGUUGUAAAGCACUUUCAGUGAGGAAGAACGCCUGGUGGUUAAUACCCAUCAGGAAAGACAUCACUCACAGAAGAAGCACCGGCUAACUCCGUGCCAGCAGCCGCGGUAAUACGGAGGGUGCGAGCGUUAAUCGGAAUUACUGGGCGUAAAGCGCGCGUAGGUGGCUUGAUAAGCCGGUUGUGAAAGCCCCGGGCUCAACCUGGGAACGGCAUCCAGAACUGUCAAGCUAGAGUGCAGGAGAGGAAGGUAGAAUUCCCGGUGUAGCGGUGAAAUGCGUAGAGAUCGGGAGGAAUACCAGUGGCGAAGGCGGCCUUCUGGACUGACACUGACACUGAGGUGCGAAAGCGUGGGUAGCAAACAGGAUUAGAUACCCUAGUAGUC